AGAGUUUGAUCAUGGCUCAGGAUGAACGCUAGCGGGAGGCCUAACACAUGCAAGCCGAGCGGUAGAGAUUCUUCGGAAUCUUGAGAGCGGCGUACGGGUGCGGAACACGUGUGCAACCUACCUUUAUCUGGAGGAUAGCCUUUCGAAAGGAAGAUUAAUACUCCAUAAUAUAUUGAUUGGCAUCAAUUGAUAUUGAAAGCUCCGGCGGAUAGAGAUGGGCACGCGCAAGAUUAGUUAGUUGGUGAGGUAACGGCUCACCAAGACGAUGAUCUUUAGGGGCCUGAGAGGGUGAUCCCCCACACUGGUACUGAGACACGGACCAGACUCCUACGGGAGGCAGCAGUGAGGAAUACUGGUCAAUGGGUGCAAGCCUGAACCAGCCAUCCCGCGUGAAGGACGACUGCCCUAUGGGUUGUAAACUUCUUUUGUAUAGGGAUAAACCUACCCUCGUGAGGGUAGCUGAAGGUACUAUACGAAUAAGCACCGGCUAACUCCGUG
RNAcentral lists this ribosomal RNA (498 nucleotides) under uncultured bacterium. Its description in RNAcentral is "bacterial SSU rRNA". It matches the Rfam family "Bacterial small subunit ribosomal RNA", at positions 8 to 507 of the family's 1533-position model. The record is from RNAcentral.